This 963-nucleotide long non-coding RNA is filed under the name Gallus gallus (chicken). Lineage: Eukaryota; Metazoa; Chordata; Aves; Galliformes; Phasianidae. The record is from RNAcentral.
GUGCAUAUCCAUUAGAGAGUCUCCUGGGUUCAAUUCCCCGAGGCAAAUUAAAUCCAUUUUCAUAGACUGACUUUAACAGACGUUCAAAGGCUGUCAGAGAAGCGCCCCACAUGGGAUGUUGCAGAUUGUUGCAUGUUCCAUCAUGUGUCCUGUACUUCUGGUGAAAGCACAUAUCUGAGCAAUUGUUCACUCGUCGAUGAGCUGUACAGCCCGAGAGAUUAGCUAUCAAAUUCAAGUACUGUGGGGAUACGAGGUCAUUAUAGUGAUAACUUGUUCCAUUCAGGUCAACCAUUAGACCAUCCUGUACAUGAUCUUGAAUAAGCUGUAAUGUUCUUUCAAAUAUUUCCCCAGCUCUUGCUUGCUCGACAGUGUAUGGAUCCCUUGGGUAUCGAAAUAAGGCUAGCAAAUCAUUUGGAGAACGAGGACGACUGUCAAACAGAUGCGUACGUGUUGAAUUUAUUGCUCUGUCAACAGUUGCAAUUGCUUCCACAAUUGAUGUUUGUACAAAAGGAUCUCCAUUUCGGCUGACAUUAGGGACAUUAACGCUAAGUACCAUACUAACAGAGGAGUAUCCUAUGGUAUUCCUGGCAACACAUUCAUAUCGACCUUCAUCAGCAGUUCCAACAUCACGAAUGGUAAGGUAUCCCUCUGGACUAACAUGAAAUUUUCCACUCUCAGUUACCUGUACUCCAUCCUUAUUCCAUGUAAUUACUGGCUCUGGCUCUCCUUGAGCGCUGCAUGGGAUCUGCACGUUUGUGCCAACUUCAACCGUCAUGUCACUAGGAACACUGGCAAAUACAGGAGUCACUCUAGGCUGUACAGUCAGGUACACAACAAUCCUUUGAGAUCCAAUGAUGUUGACAGCUUGGCAUUCAUACUGUCCUUGGUCAUGCAGGGCAACUCUGGAGAUUCUCAGAGUACCAGAAGAUAGGACUAAAUGUCUUCUGUCAACAGACAACUGGC